UACGUAGGGGGCUAGCGUUGUCCGGAAUCAUUGGGCGUAAAGAGCUCGUAGGCGGCCUGUCGCGUCUGCUGUGAAAUCCCGGGGCUCAACCCCGGGCGUGCAGUGGAUACGGGCAAGCUAGAAUUCGGUAGGGGAGACUGGAAUUCCUGGUGUAGCGGUGAAAUGCGCAGAUAUCAGGAGGAACACCGGUGGCGAAGGCGGGUCUCUGGGCCGAUAUUGACGCUGAGGAGCGAAAGCGUGGGGAGCGAACAGG
Molecule: ribosomal RNA, 253 nt
Filed under: uncultured bacterium
Lineage: Bacteria
Description: partial 16S ribosomal RNA
Rfam family: Bacterial small subunit ribosomal RNA
Source: RNAcentral